Molecule: transfer RNA, 78 nt
Filed under: Bacteroidales bacterium
Lineage: Bacteria; Pseudomonadati; Bacteroidota; Bacteroidia; Bacteroidales
Description: tRNA-Val
Rfam family: tRNA
About the family: Transfer RNA (tRNA) molecules are approximately 80 nucleotides in length. Their secondary structure includes four short double-helical elements and three loops (D, anti-codon, and T loops).
Source: RNAcentral
GGGACGUUAGUUCAGUUGGUUCAGAACGCUUGCUUGACAGGCAAGAGGUCACUGGUUCGACUCCAGUACGCCCCACAA